AACGAACGCUGGCGGCGUGGAUUAGGCAUGCAAGUCGAACGAGAAUCUGGAGGUUCAAGUUUUCGGACAAGAACUUUCGGAGGAAAGUGGCGGAAGGGUGAGUACAACAUGGAUAAUCUACCUUCAAGUUGGGUAUAGCUUCCCGAAAGGGGAGAUAAUCCCGAAUGUGGUGAUCCGGCGCCUGUCGGAGAAUCCAAAGGUGGGGACCGCAAGGCCUGCCGCUUGAAGAUGAGUCCGUGCACUAUCAGCUAGUUGGUGAGGUAAUGGCUCACCAAGGCGAUGACGGUUAGCUGGUCUGAGAGGAUGGUCAGCCACACUGGGACUGAGAUACUGCCCAGACUCCUACGGGAGGCUGCAGUCGAGAAUCAUUCGCAAUGGGCGCAAGCCUGACGGUGCGACGUCGCGUGGAGGAUGAAGGUCUUCGGAUUGUAAACUCCUGUCAUGUGGGAUAAAUGGCCAGGGCAUGAAUAGUGCCUUGGAA
Molecule: ribosomal RNA, 481 nt
Filed under: uncultured bacterium
Lineage: Bacteria
Description: bacterial SSU rRNA
Rfam family: Bacterial small subunit ribosomal RNA
Source: RNAcentral